This 498-nucleotide ribosomal RNA is filed under the name uncultured bacterium. RNAcentral describes it as "bacterial SSU rRNA". It matches the Rfam family "Bacterial small subunit ribosomal RNA", at positions 348 to 842 of the family's 1533-position model. The record is from RNAcentral.
GCAGCAGUGAGGAAUAUUGGUCAAUGGGCGGAAGCCUGAACCAGCCAAGUCGCGUGAGGGAAGACGGUCCUAUGGAUUGUAAACCUCUUUUGCAGGGGAGCAAGGCGCGGUACGUGUACCGCGAAGGAGAGUACCCUGAGAAAAAGCAUCGGCUAACUCCGUGCCAGCAGCCGCGGUAAUACGGAGGAUGCGAGCGUUAUCCGGAUUUAUUGGGUUUAAAGGGUGCGCAGGCGGACUGUUAAGUCAGCGGUAAAAUGUCGGUGCUCAACACCGGCCGGCCGUUGAAACUGGCAGCCUUGAGUGAGCGAGAAGUAUGCGGAAUGCGUGGUGUAGCGGUGAAAUGCAUAGAUAUCACGCAGAACUCCGAUUGCGAAGGCAGCAUACCGGCGCUCAACUGACGCUCAGGCACGAAAGCGUGGGUAUCGAACAGGCUUAGAUACCCUGGUAGUCCACGCAGUAAACGAUGAAUGCUCACUGUCCGGGCCGUUUAAGGCCUGG